UAGCUAUUGGUACAACUACUGUUCGUAU
Molecule: small RNA, 28 nt
Filed under: Bombyx mori (domestic silkworm)
Lineage: Eukaryota; Metazoa; Arthropoda; Insecta; Lepidoptera; Bombycidae
Description: piRNA piR-bmo-1482204
Source: RNAcentral